RNAcentral lists this ribosomal RNA (459 nucleotides) under uncultured bacterium. Its description in RNAcentral is "partial 16S ribosomal RNA". It matches the Rfam family "Bacterial small subunit ribosomal RNA", at positions 338 to 795 of the family's 1533-position model. The record is from RNAcentral.
CCUACGGGAGGCUGCAGUGAGGAAUAUUGGUCAAUGGGCGGGAGCCUGAACCAGCCAAGCCGCGUGAGGGAAGAAGGUACAGCGUAUCGUAAACCUCUUUUGUCAGGGAACAAAGGCGGGGACUAGUCCCCGGAUGAGGGUACCUGAAGAAAAAGCAUCGGCUAACUCCGUGCCAGCAGCCGCGGUAAUACGGAGGAUGCGAGCGUUAUCCGGAUUUAUUGGGUUUAAAGGGUGCGCAGGCGGCCUGUUAAGUCAGCGGGAAAAGCCCGGGGCUCAACCCCGGCGAGCCGGUGAAACUGGCGGGCUGGAGUUGGAGAGAAGUACGCGGAAUGCGCGGUGUAGCGGUGAAAUGCUUAGAUAGCGCGCAGAACCCCGAUUGCGAAGGCAGCGUACCGGCUCCACACUGACGCUGAGGCACGAAAGCGUGGGUAUCGAACAGGAUUAGAUACCCUUGUAGUC